RNAcentral lists this transfer RNA (33 nucleotides) under Tachyeres pteneres. RNAcentral's name for it is "partial tRNA-Lys". Lineage: Eukaryota; Metazoa; Chordata; Aves; Anseriformes; Anatidae. The record is from RNAcentral.
CUAGCUAAAGAGGAACUAUCCCCUCCUUAAUGG